UCGGCUCACGCGCGAAGCGCGGGCCUUGAGCGCUGGUGACAGAAGCAGCCGAGCGUGAGCUCGGCUCUACAGAUGCGCGCGCGCGAUCACCCCAGCGCUUCCACCACCCAAUCGAUGAACACCAGCAGCCGCGGUAAUACGAAGGGUGCAAGCGUUACUCGGAAUUACUGGGCGUAAAGCGUGCGUAGGUGGUCGUUUAAGUCCGUUGUGAAAGCCCUGGGCUCAACCUGGGAACUGCAGUGGAUACUGGGCGACUAGA
This 259-nucleotide ribosomal RNA is filed under the name Stenotrophomonas maltophilia group sp. RNC7. RNAcentral describes it as "partial 16S ribosomal RNA". It matches the Rfam family "Bacterial small subunit ribosomal RNA", at positions 312 to 645 of the family's 1533-position model. Lineage: Bacteria; Pseudomonadati; Pseudomonadota; Gammaproteobacteria; Lysobacterales; Lysobacteraceae. The record is from RNAcentral.